CGCGUAGGCGGUCGGGUAAGUCGAGUGUGAAAUUCCGGGGCUCAACCCCGCGAACUGCAUUCGAUACUGCUCGACUAGAGAGAGGUAGGGGCGAGUGGAAUUCCCGGUGUAGCGGUGGAAUGCGUAGAUAUCGGGAAGAACACCGGUGGCGAAGGCGGCUCGCUGGGCCUUUUCUGACGCUGAAGCGCGAAAGCGUGGGGAGCAAACA
Molecule: ribosomal RNA, 208 nt
Filed under: uncultured bacterium
Lineage: Bacteria
Description: partial 16S ribosomal RNA
Rfam family: Bacterial small subunit ribosomal RNA
Source: RNAcentral